GUUUGUGGUUUGUAAAGAAGAAAAAAAAAAAAAAAAAAAAAUCUCUUCCAAAAAAGCACCGGUCUGCAGAUGUCUGCAAGAGAAUCAACAAACCCUCCUUCUUCUACGGCAGGGCAGGGGGCAUAUUCACAGGGAGCUUUAGGAUAAUGCAUUUGUGGAGACUGGAACUGAGAAUGUUAAUACUAUUGUAAGGUUUUUUCCUCUGUGGACUGAGAAAGGAAGGCCCUUUCCAGGCAUGUACUCAUCAAAGCAUGCUCCAUGUAAAGACCUCGUCUAUAAUUUGGAAAGUCUUUAUAAAUGAAAUUCUACAAAAACAGUGGUCUCUCUAAGGAGAAAUGAUCUGAUCCAGGAUAGUACAUGGUGUAUUUUCUGUGUAUGUGUGCACAUCCAUGUCUGUAGACACCAUCUAGGGAAGAGGAAAAAGGUAGGGAAGAGUCCUGACAAUAUUAUUUGUAAAGUAGCUAUACCCAUUCAUUCACUGAAUGAUGUUGUACUAUCUAAAACACUAAUUAGAUUGCACGAUUGCAUGGCUCUCCAGAGUAUUGCAUCUCAGCAAUAAAAUCCCCACAGAGUCAUUUAUCAUGUCAUAGGGUAAGUGAUAUUUUUUGGGGUAUUCAUCUGGAUAGAUGAAAAACAAACACUGCAGUUUGGGAAUUUACAGAUAUAGAGACAUGACCUGUGAAUGAGUGAUCUGCAAGAUUAUGCACUGAAUGUGCUGCAAAUGGCAACAUAGAAGGUAUUUCAGUAUAUAAAUAUUAGAUGUGGGUUUUUUAAGCUUGAGAUACUUAUAGUUCCAGCCAGCCCUCUAAGACGUCUGGAUGCUUCCAUAAUGCAAUAUCACAAUGGAAAUCAAAAACCAUAGAAUAAGGGAGUCCAUGAAGGAAUAAGGGAGUGGAUUUUGCUAUUAAGAAGGUAUUAUUGUUUUAUUAGCCCAUAGCAAUCUGUUUUGGGCACACCAGUCUGUCCUUACUAAUGCUGUAGGGAUCUCUGUUUAGCAAUCAUAUUGGGUGAAGUCCAGUAAAAAUAUAUUUGGGGGUAUCACCAUUUUUCGAAAUUGUAUUAUUUUUCCAGUUGAAUUUGGUCUCGAGUCUGCAAAAAUCAACACUUUUGAUGGAGUUUAAAAAUAUGAAUAGUGGAAACUAAUGGGAAAGGCCUUUAAUUUUUGAAAGCACAUCCAAAUACACUCUACAGACAGACUGAUAUGCUUAAUACUGAAAAUAUCUAUCUUGCUUUAUUUCAUAGUACUCCAAAUCAGCUACAGGAUAAGGCUAGGAGAAGCUUCACCCUGAGAUAUGCGUGUCUGCAGACUGGCGACAUGUCUCUUUUGGACAUUAUGAGACGUGCACUCUUAAUCAUACAGACUAGAAUGGUCUCUUAGGUCAUAUUCAAGCACUACUGAAAUUUAUGAAAUAGAUAUUCUUAUGUGCAAUUAACCUACAUAACCUAAACCAGUAGCCUUUACUGGACUAUCAAGUAUACAUGUGUAGAUCUCUCUCUAGCAGUCACAUUCUGCAGUAUCCCAACUAAUGGUUUCCUGGAUAUCCAGAGAUAAGAGACUGCUAACAGCUUAGUAACAAGGCGUUUCUUUUGCCAAGAGGGAGGCUUAGUUGUCAUUUGGGCUCAAUUAGAUUUUUGUUGAUGAUGCAUUGUUGUUAUUGUUGUUUUUAGUAUGUAUGUACGUAAUUUCUUGUUUGUUUAAUCAGGUGAUGAAUUCUGGAUUCUUUCUGCUUGCAGGUUGUUAGCUACAUUGAUACCAUUGUGCUUUCUCUGUCUCUCCUAGGGGGAAUUUUGGCAGGUCAGGAGCAAUAAAAUACUUCUGCAUCUGACUAUCUUAGGGAGGAAAAAUGAAUGAGGAAGGACUCAUUCCUUUUUUGUUCAUGAAAAAUGUGCUUAGAAGUAGACUUUAUGUUGUGACUCCUGGGAAAAGGUAGCUAUCUCUCUCCAUUUAAGCUAAUGUGACUUAAUUGUAGAGGCUAAUGGACUUUGGAUAAACCCUUUCUUAUAUUUCACAAGUCCACUGACUUUCCAUGCACCAAUUCUAGAUCUCCCCAGGACUUGUUAAGAAACUGGUAUCUAAGUUGGAUGCCAAUAAUUGGGCUCACCCCAAAAAUAAAUUCUGUUAUAUUAAUCCAAAAAGUGAUUUUACAGUACAUUACUGCAGUGGGGAAUGACUGAAGCUGUUUUUUAUGCUCUUUUUUCAGUAUGUGUGUGGACUUUGGUAACUCAAAGUGUUUCAAAGGUAGUGUUACACAGAACUUAGCAGUAGGGAAUCUAGAGGGCAGAGGCACAUCUGAAAUCCUUCCUUCUACAGAAUUUAAAAGACUUCCCUACAUUCAUUUGGGAUUCUUAGUUCUUCAGGAAGUCUAUGUAAUCUGUUCUAAAAUAAUAGAUCACGAGAGGAAGGUUGGGAGCUAAAGCAAAAAACAUUGGGCAGAGUGGCGGAGAAAAGGCAUUAAAUUUCUUUUAAAAAGACCUCUAAAAGAAACUAUUUUUGUCUUUAAGGUCUGAUGCAGCUCACCUAAUUUUAAGGACAUAGCUGAGGUGAAAAAAGGAGUAAUUUACUCUAAUUUCCUCCAGUUGAAUAUGGAAAGUGGUGUGCAAAACCAAAUUCUAGGCUGAUCCCACCACCUCUGGUUGUCUCAGUCCUUCCCCACUGAUUGUAAGGGUAGACAGAAAAAAUUGGAUUGUCACUUAAGAACCAGAUAUUCUAAUGGGAUUAAAACUCUGGCCUUGAAAAACACAUUUAUUAAGAGAUUAUAAUGCUGAAGGAUGGAGAAAAGUACCUACUGGGAUUGCUAAAAGAUGUGUAAUUUCCACUUAUUUUAAUAAGACUAUGUGAAUACUUUGAAAUCUACUGAGGUCCCUGUGUACCUCUGGGACUAGGUCUGGAAACCUGAGUUUUACUAAAAACAAGUGGAAUUUAAUAUAUUAAAAACUAAGGUAUACAUGAAAAACUUUGAUGGUUUAGACAGUUAAGUAUUUUUCCAAAUUUUAACUUUU
Oxyura jamaicensis (ruddy duck) is the source of this 3000-nucleotide long non-coding RNA. RefSeq lists it as uncharacterized. NCBI's taxonomy places the organism in Eukaryota, Metazoa, Chordata, Aves, Anseriformes, Anatidae. The transcript is spliced from 3 exons. The record is from RefSeq and is a predicted model, not a curated record.